RNAcentral lists this ribosomal RNA (468 nucleotides) under uncultured bacterium. RNAcentral's name for it is "partial 16S ribosomal RNA". It matches the Rfam family "Bacterial small subunit ribosomal RNA", at positions 28 to 507 of the family's 1533-position model. The record is from RNAcentral.
GACGAACGCUGGCGGCGUGCUUAACACAUGCAAGUCGAACGGAAAGGCCCUGCUUUUGUGGGGUGCUCGAGUGGCGAACGGGUGAGUAACACGUGAGUAACCUGCCCUUGACUUUGGGAUAACUUCAGGAAACUGGGGCUAAUACCGGAUAGGAGCUCCUGCUGCAUGGUGGGGGUUGGAAAGUUUCGGCGGUUGGGGAUGGACUCGCGGCUUAUCAGCUUGUUGGUGGGGUAGUGGCUUACCCAGGCUUUGACGGGUAGCCGGCCUGAGAGGGUGACCGGCCACAUUGGGACUGAGAUACGGACCAGACUCCUACGGGAGGCAGCAGUGGGGAAUAUUGCACAAUGGGCGGAAGCGUGAUGCAGAAACGCCGCGUGCGGGAUGACGGCCUUCGGGUUGUAAACCGCUUUCGCCUGUGACGAAGCGUGAGUGACGGUAAUGGGUAAAGAAGCACCGGCUAACUACGUG